This is a long non-coding RNA of Amphiprion ocellaris (clown anemonefish), 2443 nucleotides long. RefSeq lists it as uncharacterized. The transcript has 3 exons. Lineage: Eukaryota; Metazoa; Chordata; Actinopteri; Pomacentridae. The record is from RefSeq and is a predicted model, not a curated record.
AAGGCAUAUUUGAAUUGUCAGAAUGGACAAAACCAACAAGCAGCUCCAUGCUUACAUUUAGAAUAAACACCAAUGAUUGUCCAUAAAGUUGGAUGAAAUCUCCAUGAUGACCAUUGCCAUCUCAGGAGUUCAUGAUCUCUCCAAACCCACCCGUCACUCAAAAUGGCCACAACAUUACCUACUUAAGUCUUAAUUAAAUUCAAACAGGUGGGUUGUAUAAAAAUCUGCUCCUCAUACAGCUGUCAUGAAGGGGAUAUUAGCUACACAGACCAAAGCUGGUUUUGUUUCAGGCUGUAAACGUGUUUAUUUCUGUUUUAAGGUGGAGCUCUAUUGGAAUUGAUCACUAUUGGAGGCAACCUCUAGUGGCCAUUCAAAGAACUGCACUUUCUGGCAUGGCAGGUACUGGCCUCAGUUUUCUUCAUCCCAGAGGCGGCUGCUUGGUCCCUCUCUGUCUCCCCACACAUCCACCAACCACUGGAACACAUCUCCAAAGUUCUGCUGGACCAGCUCAGCUUCCCCUCAGAAGAAGUGGUGCCACCUGCCAGAUGAAGGAGCCUUUUGAGAGGCAGCUGGCAUCGUGAUUGGACUGUACUUUGGUCUGUUCCAAUCCAGCUUCAGCUCCAGAGACGGCAGGCGGGACGAGUCAACGGAGGCCUGGUGGACGAAGACAUGAAGCUGAGUACAAUCCAGAAAACAACAGAGGAGGAGUGCAGCGGCCCAGGACCAGAACAAACACAUUGCUGUAAAAAGUCAGUCCAUCCUGGCCGACUUCACCACCUCUUCAUGACAACUUGUUCUGCCUCCGACCUGGUGGAAACUCCAGAAACUCAGGAAAACCUGUCGAGACUCAGAUUUUCGAAAAACUCGUCGGGCGGGGGAAGGUGUGGUGGGUGGUGGGGGGAGGUGGGGGAGUAGAGGGGGGAGGCCGCCACCCACCUCCCCGCCUACUCUCCGCCCUGACUCCACCCAGACUCCGCCUUGGCUCCGCCCAUGUGGUCACUUCAGGAACUACGAUGUCAAAGGGACGACGAAUUUAUUUCUUUUUAUCUGAUCUGUAGCUCAGUGAGUUAAGGAUUUGCCUAUGGAGCUGCAGGUCGCUGGUUCAAGACCAGACACUUCUUAAAUUUUCUCAAUAUCCUGACAAAGACAAAGAAAGAAAACUGCCACUGGUGGGUCUUGAACCUGCGACCCUCCGCUCUGUAGUCUCUCCUCUUAUCCCCCUGAGCUAUUCGCUCAGAUACUAAUUCUUCUUUUUUUUGCGCAUUUAUCAUCUAUUUUUUGCCAUUUUCGAGUUUUUUUUUAACUUGAGUCUCGACUCGACCGUUUUUCUCAGGAGGCUGGACUUCAGCCUUUGUGCUGGAGGGUGGAACCCUCAGUUCCAAGACUUUCCAAAGCCUCCACACCUCCCGAGUCCUCAGGACCUGAGCUUUCACACAGUCUGAGGGCUGAAAUUUUCGAAGUCCCACAGUAGAUCUCUGUUAGUUUGAACCUUCAGACAGUCUGAGGGCUGAAAUUUUCUAAGUUCCUGAGUAGUUCUCUGUUAGUUUGAACCUUCAGACAGUCUGAGGGCUGAAAUUUUCUAAGUUCCUGAGUAGUUCUCUGUUAGUUUGAACCUUCAGACACUCUGAGGACUGAAAUCUUAAAAGUUUCUCACUACUUCUCUGUUAGUUUGAACCUUUUGACAGUCUGAGGACUGAAAUCCUAGAAGUUCUUGAGCAGUUCUCUGUUAGUUUGAACCUUUAGACAGUCUGAGGACUGAAAUCCUAGAAGUUCUUGAGCAGUUCUCUGUGAGUUUGAACCUUUAGACAGUCUGAGGACUGAAGUUUUAAAAGUUUCUCAGUACUUCUCUGUCAGUUUGAACUUUCUGGUUAACAGAAGCCUUAAAAAUUGUGACCAUGAGUCUUGAUUUCACAUUUAGACCAUCCAUCUGAGUUCUUCUCAGACCUUCACCUGUGGGUUUUUUAGAAAUCCUGAACAAACUUUGAUUCUCUUCACUGAACAGUAAAUUUUGUGGAGAUCAGAAGGUAACAUUAGUUUGAUCGAUGCCUUCAACUACUAGUAGACUUUAUCUGGAAAGCAGUUUUCUGAAAUGAGUUCUUAGUAAAUCUGUCCACAAUCAAACCAAGAUCAUAGAAAGAGGAAAUGUUUGAAGAAACAACUUGCUGUUUUCAUUUUAGACUAGAAAACACUUUAAGGCCUUUAUGUUUUUUCUCUUUUUCGUCGUUUUAUUGUCUCUUCUGUUUAAUUUGAUCUUUGAAAGUUUAACUGGUGUCUUUUCAAAUGUUUUGUCUUUAGUUUGAUUCUUCUUAAAUGUUUAGUUUUACUCUUUGCUCACCUUUUAUUUUUUUCUGUCUGAUUUGAUUUUGAAAUGUUUUGUCUUUUUAAUGUUUAAUUGUUGUUUUUUCAAAUGGUUUAUCGGCUUGUUUGAAAAAAUUCCUUUUCU